GUGCUGAAACUUUUUUUAAAGCGAGUUCUUUGAACUGUGUGCACGAGCGCAGCGAGUCGAUUAGCUAUUUCAAAAGGAGAACUAGUAACUAGUUACAGUUUAUUGACUCGGUGCACUUUUUUUAUAGCUAAAUUGCUUGAGUUGAGUUUUCUCAAACAAUUCGGAGUUAAUUUGGAAGUAUCUUUGACUUGAAACGAGCAGAAUUUCUCGAGGACUUCCUAAUCCUGAAAAAUGACGGAACCAAAGGUAAAAAGUAAUUAAAACUGACUUGCAUUUGAACUGAGACGGUUUUUGGUGCAAGAUGACAAUUGCUUUCGACAAACUCAAAUGAUACAAAAAAUCAUCGUCAGAAAUAGGAGUUUGACGAGCCCGGAACUUGAAUGGUCUAACAGGAGUGCAGAUGCUGGAGGAGUUACCAGAAAAUACCAGAAACGUCCCAUUCGAUUUUCAGUAGCAGCGCCCUCUGUUUAAGAAACGUGUAACCCAGCUUGACGGUGGCGCAGAAACCUGUAAUACCACAAUUACACAGAUUCACGUAAUCGCAGGUCCAGUGUAAUUCGUUAAUCGAUUUUAUUAAUAAAGAAUAAUCAUCACAA
Zophobas morio is the source of this 596-nucleotide long non-coding RNA. RefSeq lists it as uncharacterized. The record is from RefSeq and is a predicted model, not a curated record. NCBI's taxonomy places the organism in Eukaryota, Metazoa, Arthropoda, Insecta, Coleoptera, Tenebrionidae. The transcript is spliced from 2 exons.